This 367-nucleotide unclassified non-coding RNA is filed under the name Calcarisporium sp. RNAcentral's name for it is "partial contains 5.8S ribosomal RNA, internal transcribed spacer 2, and large subunit ribosomal RNA". The stretch from base 1 to 52 matches the Rfam family "5.8S ribosomal RNA", at positions 103 to 154 of the family's 154-position model. Lineage: Eukaryota; Fungi; Ascomycota; Sordariomycetes; Hypocreales; Calcarisporiaceae. The record is from RNAcentral.
AACGCACCUUGCGCCCUCUGGUAUUCCGGAGGGCAUGCCUGUUUGAGUGUCAUUAAAUUCUCAACUUCAAAAGUUUUUAUUAACUUUUUGAAGCUUGGAUGUGGGGGUUUGCUGGCGUCUUUAGAUGUUCCGGCUCUCCUUAAAGUUAUUAGUGGGAAUGUCUUUUGUUAGGCGAUCCUUGGUGUGAUAAUUAUCUACACUUUGGAUAGUCUAAUGGUUCCAUUGGGACUAGUUGGUAUUGCGAUUAAGUUUGCUUUACUUGAGUCUCAGAGGAAAAGAUAAGUUCUGCUUUCUAACCGUCUGUGUUACAUGGACAAUUUAUUGACUAUUUGACCUCAAAUCAGGUAGGACUACCCGCUGAACUUAA